RNAcentral lists this ribosomal RNA (292 nucleotides) under uncultured bacterium. Its description in RNAcentral is "partial 16S ribosomal RNA". It matches the Rfam family "Bacterial small subunit ribosomal RNA", at positions 505 to 796 of the family's 1533-position model. The record is from RNAcentral.
GUGUCAGCAGCCGCGGUAAUACGUAGGGGGCAAGCGUUGUCCGGAAUCAUUGGGCGUAAAGCGCGUGUAGGCGGCUCGGUAAGUCCGCUCUGAAAGUCCAGGGCUCAACCCUGGGAUGCGGGUGGAUACUGCCGGGCUCGAGUCCGGAAGAGGCGAGUGGAAUUCCCGGUGUAGCGGUGAAAUGCGCAGAUAUCGGGAGGAACACCAAUGGCGAAGGCAGCUCGCUGGGACGUGACUGACGCUGAGACGCGAAAGCGUGGGGAGCAAACAGGAUUAGAAACCCUCGUAGUCC